This 2244-nucleotide ribosomal RNA is filed under the name Triticum aestivum (bread wheat). Its description in RNAcentral is "partial small subunit ribosomal RNA". The record is from RNAcentral. Lineage: Eukaryota; Viridiplantae; Streptophyta; Magnoliopsida; Poales; Poaceae.
AUGAUUCCGGCAGCAGCUUUGACGGUGUUGCUGCUCCAGCUCCGCCUAUCCACGGCAGCGUCUCAUGUUACGGCCGGUGCAGGGCCGUUGCCGCACUGCCAGACCAGCUGCGGCGCCGUGGAAGUGCCCUACCCAUUCGGCAUCGGCGACGGGUGCUACUGGCCAGGGUUCAACCUCACCUGCGACCGGACACGCGGCAGGGAGCCGCGGCUGCUCGUCGGCGCCGACCUCCAGGUCGUCGAGAUCUCCCUGACCAACUCCACGGUGCGGAUCGUGGACAUCGCAGGCCAGGUGAGGCUCACCUUCUCCGCGGGCCUCGACGGCAACGGCACGUGGGGCGGCCUCGGCGCCGCCAGCCCUUACGUGUUGUCAGAGAUGCGCAACCAGUUCGUCGUCACGGGGUGCAACGUGCAGGUCACGCUGGUUGGGGAGAGCGACGACAGCAGCGGUGGCAACGUCAUCUGCUGCUGCUCCUCCUUCUGCUCCACCAACAACAAGCUGACGGGUGCCCUGACGAGCUCCCCUGGCUACGGCGCUGCCGGCUGCUGCGACACACCCAUCCCAAUAGGCCGCCCCUCCUACGGCGUGGAGAUGAAGUCGCUGGACUCGAGGAACGAGUACGCCCACAGGCUGCCCAUCGCGGUGCGCAUCGCCGAGAGGGGUUGGUUUGAGAGCGCCUAUGCCGUGCUGCUCAACGACUCACCCGGGUACUCACCCUCGCGCCGCCCGGCGGUCCCCGUCGUCCUUGAUUUUGCGGUGGAUUCCAAGCCGGUGAUGCUGCCAGGGAUGGCGACGUCGGGCUGCCCUGUGGACGCGCGGAGGAGCGCGUGCCAGAGCAGCCAUGCCUCCUGCCGCAACGUCUCCGGAAAGUACCGCAGCGGGUACGUGUGCCGGUGCCUUGACGGGUACCGGGGUAACCCAUACCUCGCGGGCGGAUGCAAGGACGUCGACGAGUGUGCGCUUCCGGGCAUGUGCUUCGGCGAGUGCAUCAACACGGCCGGAGGGCACCUAUGCCGAUGCCAGCGUGGCGCACAUGGUGACCCGCGCAUAACAAAUGGAUGCACCAAAUCUUAUCUAGGUUUAAGUGCAGGCAUAGGAGUUGGCAGUGGAGCGGCCUUUCUAAUCAUGGUAAUUGGUGCUAUUUUCGUGACCCGAAAGAUGAAGCAACGCAGGGGGAAAAUGCUCAAGAAGAAAUUCUUCAAGCAAAAUCGAGGGCAUUUGUUGCAACAAUUGGUGUCUCAAAAGGCGGACAUCGCUGAGAGGAUGAUCAUCCCCUUGGUGGAGCUACACAAGGCCACCAACAAUUUUGACAAAGCUCGCGAGAUUGGUGGAGGAGGGCAUGGCACGGUCUACAAAGGCAUCAUGUCAGACCUGCAAGUCGUGGCGAUCAAGAAGUCCAAGGUCGCGAUCCAGAGGGAGAUUGACGAGUUCAUAAAUGAGAUAGCGAUCCUCUCGCAGAUCAAUCAUCGAAAUGUGGUGAAGCUCCAUGGGUGCUGCCUCGAGACGGAGGUGCCGCUACUGGUUUACGAGUUCAUCUCUAAUGGGACCCUUUACCAUCAUCUCCAUGUCCAAGAAACCAUGUCAUCCCUGCCAUGGGAAGAUCGGCUGAGGAUCGCCACCGAAAUAGCAAGAGCUCUAACCUACCUUCACUCAGCCGUGGCGUUCCCUAUAGUCCAUAGGGAUAUUAAGUCCCCAAACAUUCUGUUAGAUGGCACUCUCAUGGCAAAGGUGUCGGACUUUGGAGCUUCGAGGUUCAUUCCUGCCGACCAAACAAAGACCUCGACCGCAGUCCAAGGGACAUUUGGGUACCUAGACCCCGUGUAUUUCUACUCAGGAAAGCUCACCGAGAAAAGCGAUGUUUACAGCUUCGGCGUCCUCCUCAUGGAGCUUCUCACUAGGAAAAAACCAUGCUCAUAUCGGUCAUCCGAGGAGGAAACCCUUGUCUCAUAUUUCACUGCUUCGCUAGAAGCAGGCAAACUGAUUCAUGUGCUAGAUCCUCAAGUGAUGGAAGAAGGCGGCAAGGAAGUUGAAGAAGUGGCUAUGUUGGCAGUAGCAUGCACGAGGAUUGAAAGAGACCACCGGCCAACCAUGAGGCAAGUGGAGAUGACACUUGAGAGCCUUGGAGCCGUGCAUGAUAGCUUUAUGCCGAAGUAUCAAGUGGUUGUGGGUACAACCAUGGAGGGAACGAGCCGACAAUAUAGCUUGGAAGCAGAACAUUUGUUGUCAUCAAGAUACCCCCGGUAG